RNAcentral lists this ribosomal RNA (253 nucleotides) under uncultured bacterium. Its description in RNAcentral is "partial 16S ribosomal RNA". It matches the Rfam family "Bacterial small subunit ribosomal RNA", at positions 524 to 776 of the family's 1533-position model. The record is from RNAcentral.
UACGGAGGGUGCAAGCGUUAUCCGGAUUCACUGGGUUUAAAGGGAGCGUAGGUGGGUCUGUAAGUCAGUGGUGAAAUCUCCGUGCUUAACAUGGAAACUGCCAUUGAUACUAUAGGUCUUGAAUUAUCUGGAGGUUAGCGGAAUAUGUCAUGUAGCGGUGAAAUGCUUAGAUAUGACAUAGAACACCAAUUGCGAAGGCAGCUGGCUACAGGUAAAUUGACACUGAGGCUCGAAAGCGUGGGGAUCAAACAGG